Oryctolagus cuniculus (rabbit) is the source of this 1036-nucleotide non-coding RNA. The record is from RefSeq and is a predicted model, not a curated record. NCBI's taxonomy places the organism in Eukaryota, Metazoa, Chordata, Mammalia, Lagomorpha, Leporidae.
GCUGGCCCCACCCACACAGGGAUUCGCUAGGCGCAUGCGCGUCUUUUCGCCGGGGUCGGAAGGUCUAGGAAUUAAGGCCCUCGGAGAAUCAGGAGUUCCGACGCACAGUUACAGAGAGGCAGAGGCAGAGAGGUCUUCCAUCCACUGGUUCACUCCCCAGAUGGCUGCAACAGCUGGAGCUGUGUGCUGGAAUGAGAAGGCCAUGCCAAAGUGGCCGCUGGCAAGCGAGCAUGUUACUCAGGAAUGGCUUUGAAUCCCACCUGGCAACAGAGCCUGCCUGGCAACAGGCUGUGAUUGGAUGGAUUUGAAACCCACAUGGCGAACGGAAACUGCCUGGCAACAGGCUGUGAUUGGUUGGGGCAUAGACCGCCCCUUGACCAGAUUAACUGGUCUUGGUUAUAUAAGAUGUUGUACCAACUGAAAUAAACGAGUCUGCGGGCUGCUCACCUCAGGCCUGCUUUCACCCGACUCCUGGGGUCUGUGUGGUGACUCUGCGCCUCUUGCCCCCACCACACUCCUCCUCUCAGAAACUAAUCCACUGCAACAUUGUUGAGAAAUCAACUGCAACGGAGCUGGGCCAAUCCGAAGCCAGGAGCCAAGAGCUUCCUCCGUGUCUCCCACAUGAGUGCAGGGGCCCAAGGACUUGAGCCAUCUUCUACGGCUUUCCCAGGCCACAGCAGAGAGCUGGAUUGGAAAUGGAGCAGCCCAAACGAACUCGAACUGGCACCUAUAUGGGAUGCCAGCGCUGCAGGCAGUGGCUUUACCUGUUAUGCCAUGGCACUGGCCCCAUAUCUUAUGCUUUUAAAAAGUUUUCUGAAGCAUCUUUGAAAAUUUCCCAACUCCAGCAUGGGAUGCUAGUGUGACAAGUGGUGUCUUAACUCAUUGUGCCACAAAGCUGCCCCUUCAAAAUAUUUCUAAUGGUUGUAUGGAUGUUUUGCAUAACUACCUUCUGUUGUUGUGCUCUUUGACUGUUUCCACUUUUGGUUAUCAUAACAAAUGAUGUAGUAACAAAAAAAAAAAAAAAAAGGAAAGAAAA